UGCAAGUCGAACGGCAGCACGGGGGCAACCCUGGUGGCGAGUGGCGAACGGGUGAGUAAGACAUCGGAACGUGUCCUGGAGUGGGGGAUAGCCCGGCGAAAGCCGGAUUAAUACCGCAUACGCUCGGGAGAGGAAAGCGGGGGACCUUCGGGCCUCGCGCUCAAGGGGCGGCCGAUGGCAGAUUAGGUAGUUGGUGAGGUAAAGGCUCACCAAGCCGACGAUCUGUAGCUGGUCUGAGAGGACGACCAGCCACACUGGGACUGAGACACGGCCCAGACUCCUACGGGAGGCAGCAGUGGGGAAUUUUGGACAAUGGGGGCAACCCUGAUCCAGCAAUGCCGCGUGUGUGAAGAAGGCCUUCGGGUUGUAAAGCACUUUUGUCCGGAAAGAAAACCUUCGCCCGAAUACGGUGGGGGGAUGACGGUACCGGAAGAAUAAGCACCGGCUAACUACGUGCCAGCAGCCGCGGUAAUACGUAGGGUGCGAGCGUUAAUCGGAAUUACUGGGCGUAAAGCGUGCGCAGGCGGUCCGCUAAGACCGAUGUGAAAUCCCCGGGCUUAACCUGGGAACUGCAUUGGUGACUGGCGGGCUGGAGUAUGGCAGAGGGGGGUAGAAUUCCACGUGUAGCAGUGAAAUGCGUAGAGAUGUGGAGGAAUACCGAUGGCGAAGGCAGCCCCCUGGGCCAAUACUGACGCUCAUGCACGAAAGCGUGGGGAGCAAACAGGAUUAGAUACCCUGGUAGUCCACGCCCUAAACGAUGUCAACUGGGUUGUCGGGCCUUCAUUGGCUUGGUAACGUAGCUAACGCGUGAAGUUGACCGCCUGGGGAGUACGGUCGCAAGAUUAAACUCAAAGGAAUUGACGGGGACC
Molecule: ribosomal RNA, 869 nt
Filed under: Burkholderia sp.
Lineage: Bacteria; Pseudomonadati; Pseudomonadota; Betaproteobacteria; Burkholderiales; Burkholderiaceae
Description: bacterial SSU rRNA
Rfam family: Bacterial small subunit ribosomal RNA
Source: RNAcentral